CCUACGGGAGGCAGCAGUAGGGCAUCUUCCACAAUGGGCGAAAGCCUGAUGGAGCAACGCCGCGUGGGUGAAGAAGGUCUUCGGAUCGUACAACCCUGUUGUUAGAGAAGAAAGUGCACUAGAGUAACUGUUCACGUUUCGACGGUAUCUAACCAGAAAGCCACGGCUAACGACGUGCCAGCAGCCGCGGUAAUACGUAGGUGGCAAGCGUUAUCCGGAUUUAUUGGGCGUAAAGGGAACGCAGGCGGUCUGUUAAGUCUGAUGUGAAAGCCUUCGGCUUAACCGGAGUAGUGCAUUGGAAACUGGGAGACUUGAGUGCAGAAGAGGAGAGUGGAACUCCAUGUGUAGCGGUGAAAUGCUUAGAUAUAUGGAAGAACACCAGUGGCGAAAGCGGCUCUCUGGUCUGUAACUGACGCUGAGGUUCGAAAGCGUGGGUAGCAAACAGGAUUAGAUACCCCAGUAGUC
This 465-nucleotide ribosomal RNA is filed under the name uncultured bacterium. RNAcentral's name for it is "partial 16S ribosomal RNA". It matches the Rfam family "Bacterial small subunit ribosomal RNA", at positions 338 to 795 of the family's 1533-position model. The record is from RNAcentral.